CAUCCCGACUUACCAACCCGAUGCAAACUACGAAUACCGAAGAAUGUUAUCACGGGAGACACACGGCGGGUGCUAACGUCCGUCGUGAAGAGGGAAACAACCCAGACCGCCAGCUAAGGUCCCAAAGUCAUGGUUAAGUGGGAAACGAUGUGGGAAGGCACAGACAGCCAGGAUGUUGGCUUAGAAGCAGCCAUCAUUUAAAGAAAGCGUAAUAGCUCACUGGUCGAGUCGGCCUGCGCGGAAGAUGUAACGGGGCUAAACCAUGCACCGAAGCUGCGGCAGCGACACUAUGUGUUGUUGGGUAGGGGAGCGUUCUGUAAGCCUGCGAAGGUGUGCUGUGAGGCAUGCUGGAGGUAUCAGAAGUGCGAAUGCUGACAUAAGUAACGAUAAAGCGGGUGAAAAGCCCGCUCGCCGGAAGACCAAGGGUUCCUGUCCAACGUUAAUCGGGGCAGGGUGAGUCGACCCCUAAGGCGAGGCCGAAAGGCGUAGUCGAUGGGAAACAGGUUAAUAUUCCUGUACUUGGUGUUACUGCGAAGGGGGGACGGAGAAGGCUAUGUUAGCCGGGCGACGGUUGUCCCGGUUUAAGCAUGUAGGCUGGUUAUCCAGGCAAAUCCGGAUAAUCAAGGCUGAGGUGUGAUGACGAGGCACUACGGUGCUGAAGUAACAAAUGCCCUGCUUCCAGGAAAAGCCUCUAAGCAUCAGGUAACAUCAAAUCGUACCCCAAACCGACACAGGUGGUCAGGUAGAGAAUACCAAGGCGCUUGAGAGAACUCGGGUGAAGGAACUAGGCAAAAUGGUGCCGUAACUUCGGGAGAAGGCACGCUGGUGUGUAGGUGAAGUCCCUGCGGAUGGAGCUGAGACCAGUCGAAGAUACCAGCUGGCUGCAACUGUUUAUUAAAAACACAGCACUGUGCAAACACGAAAGUGGACGUAUACGGUGUGACGCCUGCCCGGUGCCGGAAGGUUAAUUGAUGGGGUUAUCCGUAAGGAGAAGCUCUUGAUCGAAGCCCCGGUAAACGGCGGCCGUAACUAUAACGGUCCUAAGGUAGCGAAAUUCCUUGUCGGGUAAGUUCCGACCUGCACGAAUGGCGUAAUGAUGGCCAGGCUGUCUCCACCCGAGACUCAGUGAAAUUGAACUCGCUGUGAAGAUGCAGUGUACCCGCGGCAAGACGGAAAGACCCCGUGAACCUUUACUAUAGCUUGACACUGAACAUUGAGCCUUGAUGUGUAGGAUAGGUGGGAGGCUUUGAAGCGUGGACGCCAGUCUGCGUGGAGCCAACCUUGAAAUACCACCCUUUAAUGUUUGAUGUUCUAACGUUGGCCCCUGACCGGGGUUGCGGACAGUGUCUGGUGGGUAGUUUGACUGGGGCGGUCUCCUCCCAAAGCGUAACGGAGGAGCACGAAGGUUAGCUAAUCCUGGUCGGACAUCAGGAGGUUAGUGCAAUGGCAUAAGCUAGCUUGACUGCGAGCGUGACGGCGCGAGCAGGUGCGAAAGCAGGUCAUAGUGAUCCGGUGGUUCUGAAUGGAAGGGCCAUCGCUCAACGGAUAAAAGGUACUCCGGGGAUAACAGGCUGAUACCGCCCAAGAGUUCAUAUCGACGGCGGUGUUUGGCACCUCGAUGUCGGCUCAUCACAUCCUGGGGCUGAAGUAGGUCCCAAGGGUAUGGCUGUUCGCCAUUUAAAGUGGUACGCGAGCUGGGUUUAGAACGUCGUGAGACAGUUCGGUCCCUAUCUGCCGUGGGCGCUGGAGAAUUGAGGGGGGCUGCUCCUAGUACGAGAGGACCGGAGUGGACGCAUCACUGGUGUUCGGGUUGUCAUGCCAAUGGCACUGCCCGGUAGCUAAAUGCGGAAGAGAUAAGUGCUGAAAGCAUCUAAGCACGAAACUUGCCCCGAGAUGAGUUCUCCCUGAGACU
RNAcentral lists this ribosomal RNA (1912 nucleotides) under Klebsiella pneumoniae. Its description in RNAcentral is "partial 23S ribosomal RNA". It matches the Rfam family "Bacterial large subunit ribosomal RNA", at positions 928 to 2822 of the family's 2925-position model. RNAcentral also lists the same sequence under 1 other name. The record is from RNAcentral. Lineage: Bacteria; Pseudomonadati; Pseudomonadota; Gammaproteobacteria; Enterobacterales; Enterobacteriaceae.